UACGGGGGGGGCAAGCGUUGUUCGGAAUUACUGGGCGUAAAGGGCUCGUAGGCGGCCAACUAAGUCAGACGUGAAAUCCCUCGGCUUAACCGGGGAACGGCCUCUGAUACUGGCUGGCUGGAGUUCGGGAGAGGGAUGCGGAAUUCCAGGUGUAGCGGUGAAAUGCGUAGAGAUCGGGAGGAACAUCUGUGGCGAAGGCGACUGCCUGGACCAGCACUGACACUGAGGCACGAAAGCGUGGGGAGCAAACAGG
Molecule: ribosomal RNA, 253 nt
Filed under: uncultured bacterium
Lineage: Bacteria
Description: partial 16S ribosomal RNA
Rfam family: Bacterial small subunit ribosomal RNA
Source: RNAcentral